Molecule: transfer RNA, 72 nt
Filed under: Candidatus Nealsoniibacteriota bacterium
Lineage: Bacteria; Candidatus Nealsoniibacteriota
Also listed under: 1 other name
Description: tRNA-Thr
Rfam family: tRNA
About the family: Transfer RNA (tRNA) molecules are approximately 80 nucleotides in length. Their secondary structure includes four short double-helical elements and three loops (D, anti-codon, and T loops). Further hydrogen bonds mediate the characteristic L-shaped molecular structure. tRNAs have two regions of fundamental functional importance: the anti-codon, which is responsible for specific mRNA codon recognition, and the 3' end, to which the tRNAs corresponding amino acid is attached (by aminoacyl-tRNA synthetases). tRNAs cope with the degeneracy of the genetic code in two manners: having more than one tRNA (with a specific anti-codon) for a particular amino acid; and 'wobble' base-pairing, i.e. permitting non-standard base-pairing at the 3rd anti-codon position.
Source: RNAcentral
GCCACCCUAGCUCAGAGGCAGAGCAACUCCAUGGUAAGGAGUAGGUCGUGGGUUCAAGUCCCACGGGUGGCU